Numida meleagris (helmeted guineafowl) is the source of this 21902-nucleotide long non-coding RNA. RefSeq lists it as uncharacterized. NCBI's taxonomy places the organism in Eukaryota, Metazoa, Chordata, Aves, Galliformes, Numididae. The transcript is spliced from 9 exons. The record is from RefSeq and is a predicted model, not a curated record.
AAGACCUAAAAUAUAUAUCUAGACCACUCGUUUACGUUAAAAAAAUGAACUGUUUCAACUUUUAAUUGCCUCAAAAUUGUCAGUAGUGUGGGAUAGAGCAUGUGAUAAAUACUUGGAUAUAUGCAUGCAUUGGUAUAUGUCAAUAAUGCAAAAUAAAGUAGCUUAGUCAAAUCUGACAGAAAGAACAAGGCGUGAAUAGACACAAACAUUAAGUAAGUCCAAGAACAAGGUAGAAUUAGAGGAACUGACAGAACAACUCAUGUACCUCCUUAUUUCAGGAUGGAAAACAUGCUUUCUGUUUGCAUUACUGCUGUUGGGCGAUUUCUGAAAUUCUGUUCAUACUGACAAACACUUAAGGAAUGCUUAAUCAUAUGUAGGUUGGAUGAGAAUAUUUUUAAUCCCUUCCUUUUCAGCCUUGGGACAAUAUCUAUGUUUUGUCCUCUUUUGCUGUCUUGUCUUUUUCUUUUGAAAGUUAAGAAGGAGCCUAAUUUGAUUAAUGAUACAGAAUAAAUAGUACUACACUGGAGUGAAAUGUAUUUGUCAGGACAAUGUCUCCUUUCAUGUUGUUACUUCACACCAGUAUUAUUCUGGCACAUGCUAAAAAUGAGAGCGUAGCUAUUGUUUUUACUUGCUGUUAUGAGUUUUCUGGCCGUUAAGAUGAUUAAUCAGUUUGUUAUUAAUAUAACUCCAGUUCCUUAUUCUCAUCUAUUCCCCAAACACUCAUCCAUUCACAGCACAAAAAGCAUUAAGUAUUUUAUGUGCAAAGAUGUAAGGAUUGUUGUUCUGCCAGACAUGUGUACCGCUGUCUCCCAUUCUGGCUGUGAAUUUCCACACGACGUUUUCCUGUAGUGUUUGUUCCUGGGGAGCAGUAAUUUCUGAAAUGUAGUUGUGCAUUAAGCAGACCUCUUGGUCUGCCUCCAACAAAAAAGGGGUACAGGAUGCUUAUGAAUUGUACUGGCAACAAGCAUGCUGAUAUGGAAACUUUCCCAAUAUCAGAGCUGGCUGGAGAUGUCCAUAAUUUCUAUGAUUUCUCCUUUGUGCUUUAUAACCAAAAGAUGCUGCUGGAGAGUGAGGAAUGUGCCCAACAUGGUCAAACAGUUGCCAGUUAAAGUUUGGAUUGUUAUCCACAUCUCUGUGGUAUAUUCAUUCUAUUAUGUCUUCAAUUUAGACUUUUUCAGAACAUGUCCUGUUGAGAAAUUGUUGUAAAAAUGAAUGUUUUCUCUUCCAGUUGAGCUGUUUCAUCAGGAUGAAAAAAUGUUUUAAUUUCAGGAGCAGUAAAUUAUUAAAAGAAUAUAGGAAUAUUAAAGUCUGCCUUCUAGGAGCAAUAAUUAUUUUGCAAAGAAAUCCAUAUUAAUUCUGAAGCAGCUAGAAUACUUUCAUCAGCUAGAAAUAGCUUAGUUGAUGACUACUGUUUAUCAGCCCCUGCAGAAACACCCCCCAACAAAGCUAUAUUCCUUCUUAUGUUCUUAUGUGUAUCCACACAACUAUGCACUAAGUAUGUCUAUCUCAGGCAAUUUAAAAAUUCUGAUUUUUCAAGGUAUGAAUUAUUUGUCCAAGUUAUUGUGACCAGAACAAUGAGACUGGCCACACCAUUGGCCAGGCUGGGAGUUGGACUCAGUGGUCUCUUCAGGUCCCUUCCAACCCCUGAGAUUCUGUGAUUCUGUGAGAGGUUUGUAUUAAAUGUGCAGCCUUUCAUAUGUGUGAUAAGCUCCCAGCUUGCUGCUUUUAAAUGCUGUUUACUAGGGAUCUCCUUGAAGAGACUUUUGUUAAGUGAUGUUCCACCCUACUUCCAAUGUAUUGAGUGCACUGCACUUACUGAACUACAAAGUUCUGUCAUCACCCCCAGUUACUGACACUGAGGUGUGGCCCUAUUUAUAAAGGGUGGAAGUCAGGUCAUUGUCUCUCUUGUUUACUGAUCUGUUUAAACUUUGGUUUCCAUGAGUACCCAUGCUUGAGACGUUGAAAUUUGCUUUUUGUUAGGGUUUUUUUUUUUUUUUUUUCAUAUAAAAAGCAAUAGCGUGCUUGUCUGUAGGAAAAAAUGAGCUCCAAACUCAGUAACUUUAGCUGACUUUGACUUCGGGGGUUGUUCAAGCGUGCAGUCCUGCCACUGUGAACCUACUGCUCUUGAAACUGAAAAGUGACAUUUUUGUGUGACCUCUUGUGAACCCAGCUCUUUCUGUCUCUUCCCCCUUUAGGCCUGACUAUAGAUAGCCCUAAGGGUUGCCUCUGCUUCCCUGUUUAGCCCUGCCUGUAGUGUGAUCUUUAUCUUCUAUGGUGAAUCGCCUCUGUGCAUCAGUCAUUGCCUUGAUUUCACUUGUGUCCUUUCGGAUUUCACUUCCCUCUGGUGGUAGCAUUAAGACAGAAAACAGUCUGUUCCCUUAGUUUUCUUCAGUGGAAAUAUCUGUUUCAGUCUCUUGAAGCAAAGCAGUGGCGUUUACAAACAACACUAGAGGUUCAUGUCAGUCCAUCCUGAAACUUUCCUAAACGUAGUUGCAGGAAACUGCAUCCCACUGCUCUCACAUGAGUUUAUUGUAGUCAAGGUUUAGAGAUGAAGAAAUGCUGGUGAUCAGAAUACUUCUGCUUUGGUUCGAAUGAGUCUGUAUGUUACAUAAAACGAACUAUUAAAAAACAGGAACAGAAACUGACCUAUGUAUUUACACCACAAAUCAUGAAUCAGUUAAAUAUUUCUGGCGUAACAAAAAGGAAUGCAAUGAGAAUCUUUUGUCCUAAGGGGAAAAGAACAUGUGUACUGUAAUUGUUUUUAACAUUUUUUUGCCACCAUUCCUCUAUUUCUGGUUUUGAUUUGGAUGACCUUGCUCUGACAGUGUAUUUAUGUCAGACAUCACAGCCUACAGAAAGUAUUUCAUAUGUCUGAAGACUCUGGCAAGUGUUCUAAUUUGAGAGACUGAACAUUUUGGUAUUGCUCAGUUGCUAUUGGUCAGUAAGUUAGCACUUCUUCGUAGCUUUUCUUUGAGCUGUGGGAGUGAUGGUCUGUCACUAUAAGGUUGAAGACAAAACAUAAAUAAUGUAAUAGAUGAGCUACACACAGCUGCUAAAAUGGUCACCGCAAUGUGCAAUGCAUUUGCUACUCCAAAAUGAAAGCUAGAUCAGUCAUUCUUUAAAUACCUCUUCAGAGGAGGAAUAACUUUCUCACUGAAAUAAAUUCUAAGUGUUGAUAAGUGUCCUCUGGUCUUUCAUUGGAACAUCGUAAUACAGAAUCAGCCAUUUUUCUCCAAGUUUUACACCUGGAAAAAAAGGAGGUAGCAUACCAGUGAAGUUGGGGCUCUUUGGGAAGGAGGCAAGGUAUCUGUCAGCAGGAAAAGUACUUUGUGCUCUGACAUAUGGUGUAUGUAUUGUUCACAUAGAAAACCGGACAGCUUCCACAAGGAGAGUUGAAGGAGUGCCUUCGUUAGUAAAGGGAGCUCUGAAAACACCACUGGCUUGCUCUUCUGCUACAUUGGGUAUAGGGAACUCUUGACUAAGAUUCACUUCAGAAUGGUCCCUAAGAAAAUUUGUUCUUUCGUCUUGGUAGGAAUCACUGAGAUAAAGAAUUUCUGAAUAGUAAUGGUCACAAAGGAAUGCAAAUUCCAGGGCUUAAGUGCGCACAUAUGCAAUUAGGACAAAACCGUAGGCUUUUAUGUCAAAACAUUAGCGAACAGACAAAACAAGAAACAUCAAAGAACUGUUAAAGUCAACAAAGAUAUCUUAAGUGGUGAACUUGGCCUCUUGUGUAUGAUACGGCUUUGGGAAACGGCAAAUAAAUUCCAGGAGGAGAAAGGUGAUGUGGCCUUGGGAGGCCAGCUGGAUCUGAGCAGUGGCGGUGAGCAGAGAGGAAACUUUGCUUCUCAGUGGCUGGAAGGAGGAAUAAGUGGCAUUCUUCUGAUUCUUUCAGUCUUGGGGCAUGAAGAAGGAAUCAAAUCUGACCAUGUGGUUCUGGUUGAUAAGGAAUGCAAUAGUGUUAUCAUGACAGAGAAGGAAGCUUUAGGAUAAUCGUUCCCUUUUUUCCCCUCCCUUUCCCUUUCUUCCAUUAUUCUGCUACUCUGAAAUGCCAUUUUAUUUAUCUUCACUACCUCUGAAGUCUUUCCUUCGUUCAUUUACUUUCUUUUUCCUAAUUCUCUAUUUCAUUAAACCUAUCAAAGGAGCUUGGUUCCUAGAAACUUGAUAGGCACCUCAGAUGAGAGUCCACCAUUUAUUUUUGCUGAUAUGAGUUCUUUCAGGUACUUACUGAGUGUGAUACAUGCUCUUUGUUUUAUUAUCUAUUAUGUUUUGUAACAACUGCUUCUUUCUUCUCUUCUUGUACUUACUUGUUAUAUUCUGUCUAAGAUUUAGACCAUAAUAAUUUUUAAGGAGGAUAGUACUUUAAUAUAUUCUGAAAGGUACAUAGAAAAACCUAUGGUUCUUCACAUACAUUUUAUAAGUGCAUCCCAUUUUGGUGUGUAUAGCAUUAUUUCUAUGCAUGCGUCUUCUCCUGGCUGCAUCUUACCUAUUAUGAAGUCUAAAAGUGAGCAAAAGCAAUGAGUUGUGCAAUUUAGGUACAAUAUUUUGCAAGUUCUAAGUUCAAGCAAGUUCAUAGUUUGGUGAAGUUUGGCUAUGUUUUCAUACUACUUUUAAUAUGCAGCCUGAUGACUUAUAAUGAUGUUUUUAAAGCCUGAUUUUCUUCCCCAAAAAUAUUUUUGGAGUCUUGCCGAGAAAAAAAAAGAUUGAAAGGUUGCAACACAGAAUGUGUCUGAUUCUUCUUUCUUUAUAUGCUUAGGAAAUGCCAAACUUGUGCCUGCAAAAGAAGUUGUUAGGAAUAGCCCUGGUGACUGUAAACCUCUAGCAUGAGCUGAUCAAAGUAAUGAGCCUCAGUCUGUAAAAAUCAUGAGGAAUGAUUCUGUCCCCAUCAGCAGGAAAAUAUUAUGGAAGCCUGGCAGCAUCUGUUAGUUUUUACAUUUUUUUUGCAAGUCAUGUUGUGCUGUUAGGAAUCCUGCACACUUGUAGUUAAACUUGGAAAGAUGGGGAAUGUCUUUGUUGCUUUAAUAAUUUAUGUGGCUCCUGUAAAAGGUUUAUAUUUGCAAGCCAGCUUAGCAUGCUUGAUUUACUACUAAGAUUCACUGUUCUCAUUGUUUCGCAUAUCCUGGCAUAGGGACCAGUCACUUGUCUCAUUUAUUCAUCUGUUGCUCUAUAUCCUGCUCAUGAACUGGUAAUCCUAGCAGAGGCUAUUAAAUGUUGGGUUUUUUUUUUAAAUAAACUAUUUAAACCCAAGUUUGUCUUCAUAAAGUGGUAAAGCAGAACUACAUUUUGAUGCCUUUCCCACUUAAAUGAUAGUAAAUCUAACAAUAAUAUGCUUAUAGUGCAUUGCUGUGCUUAAUUCAAAAUAUGUUCAAGUUUAUCGAGAGGAAUGUCAAUACUUUGUGCUUUAAAGGUAGAGAAAUUCAGACAGGGUUAGUAGCUACCUUAUCUAAUUUGAUCAUGAACAUUGAAUUUCUCUGAGACGUGUAACAUUUCAGAGUAGGGAAAUAGAUUUUAUUACCCAAAAAUAACAAAUUGGAAAGUAGAGAGGAAGUGUUGCAUGUAUUGAAACCUCCAGAUCUUUGGGGAUCACAGAUGAAGCUACGGAUCUCCAGUGAGUGUUCCCUUUCAUUCAUCCACUUUGCUGUUUUCAGACAGGUUGGGCAGCACAGAGGACCAGCUCUGAGUUACUGCCUUUGUAGUACCAGCUCCACUCCUGCAGCUGGAAAACUUCCAGCUGGAGCUUCAGCCUUCCUCACAUCUGAGACCAACACAGCGAAAAAGAGAAGCACUGUGUUGCAAAAGCAGUGUCCCUGCUGAAUCCAGGAGGAUUCACUGAGGGUUUUGGGUGUGCUGGGUAAUACAUAUUAGCCCUGAAGAGGCACAUGGAAGCAUGAGCUUCACUGAUUUUGUUGGCAAUUGUUACAGUGAUUGCUGAAGCAUUUUGAUAAAUUUUGCAUUUUUUUUCAUCAAGCAUAAUACUUGAAAGUAACAACUUCUGUGUGGUACCACCUUCAUUCUUCGAAUUACUUGCAGGCUAGCAAAAAGAAGCGAGCUUGUGAGAACAGUUAUUUCAAGGGCAGUUUUCUUUCAGCAUAGUUUGUAAUCACUCAGUGGUUUAAGAUAUCCAUUUCAGCGUAGGAUGGCUAGGUGGUACCUGGAGCUGUGCAGAUUUUUUCUUUUUAUAACCAGUAUUUCUGCAGCUAUAUGUUGUCGGUGGUGCAAAAAUGGAAAACAGGCAAUUAAAAGCACAGGAAUUAAAAAAAAAAAAACAAAAACAACUCAAUGCUAGAGUCAUGUUUGUUGUCCAGUCUGUUAACCAUAGCGUUCUCUUGCUUGUGGUUAGAAGCAGUGUGCUGGUAAUAGGUGGGAUCUUGCAGUGGUCUUACUAUUCUUUUCCACAUGUUAUUCUCAUGUCUUCCUGUGUUGUCCUGAUCUUCAGGCUUUGACAUGGUAUUUUACUGAAUAAUAUUUUAAUAUAUUUUCUGUAAAAAGUGCUGAGGUACAUCUUUUACCUCACCUGCCUAAACAGCACCAAGAUCUAGAGAUGAAGUGGGCACUGGAGAUUUUAUGGACGUGAAGGGAAAUUUGGGAAGGGAAGAUGAAACUUGCAAGUGAGAUUCAAAGAGGAGAUGAAAUAUGAUGAGUGUCAGGCAAAGCAAAUGAUAAUUCCAGCAGCCUCGUGGAUACACUAGAGAACAAGGCAAUUUCAGGAAGGAAGAGGAGGCAGUGAGAUGGAAUGAUUUUUUUCAAUGUGAAGAGAAAAUGAUUUUUUUUAUAAUAGUGCAUAUUCCAAAGCAGCCUGGUCCUUGGAAAUUAAUUUGUGCUGCAGGUGACACUGAUUAUUCCUAGAGAUGUGCAGUGGCAGGAGCAGGAACAUUACUUUUUAGUGCCAAUAAGUUCUGCAAUAAGUGCUGUAGCACCACUGUGUAAUUAAUGCCAAAUGUGUCAUCACGCUUUACUCACUGAAAAGAAUUUAGAAUAGAUGCCUGCUUUCUCAGUGAAUAAAAUACCAUUUCACCCUAAUUAGGUUCAUUUUUACUGAGGAGAGUGAUUAAAUUAUAUGAACAAUAACUUCUCCUUCAAUAUUGUGACAAAGAGAAUGGAGUAUAUAAUAAACACCAAACAAAAAAAAAAAAGAGGAGAAAGCCAUCUGCAGUGGUUUUAGUUCUUUGUUGUAUGAUCAAGAGUCAAGCAAGUUCUGGUGAGCAGCUAGCAGUGCAGAUAUUCAGUGUGCCAUGGUCUUCAACUGGGAGUUAUGGGUGGAGGUGAUUGUGGGCAAACGUUUCCCAUCAUUGUUAAUACCAGGGCAGUUCAUGGUAGGAGCUCCACUGUAGAUAAACCUUCUGUGAAUAUGUUUACUCUGUCUUUUAGAUGCGCUGUAAGCUAGUGAAGCAUGUGCAGUUGCAUUCUUAUAUUGGUUUGCACAAGAUUUGGCUUUGUGGAGACUGCCAAGAUGGGUAAUGAAAAAGAGCUGCGGUAUGUGGAAAUUUUUUGUUUCGUACUUCAAAUCGGUCUGAUGUGGUAACAUCAUCUUUAGAAUAAAAAAGUAAGGCUGUUUAUUAAUCCUACACCCCUCUAACUUUUUCUCCCUCAAAAAUGAAAACUGAUUCAUUGCACCCAAUGAUUCUUAGAAAUUGUGGCAACAUGCGUCAGUGCAUUACACUUUCUCUAUUGCGUGUAUUGAUUUAAAUGUGACAUUUUAGUUUGUGAAAGUAUCUGGAAUCUUAGAUUGUACUGACUUUGUGCAAUGAAGUUAUCCUAGCCACAUAAGAAGCGAGCAUAAAUAUCUUUCAAGCUUUUUUUGUUGCAUGUUUAUAGAACAUUUUUCUUCAAGCAAAAGUGAGGUAGUUCAUGAGAUUUCUGUGUGUACUUACCAGUUCAGUCAUUUAUCUGUAUAUCUGCUUACAAUGAAUUCAUAUGUUAUGUUAAACCAAUUUUUAUGUAGAGUUUGGUUUCUUGUACUUAUGAGUACAACAUCUUCCACCUUUUCUUCUUGUGAAAAACGAUUUCACUCUUAAGGAGCCAUUUGUGCAACCUUGGCCUGGGCAUUCAGAAAUGUAAGACUAAAACCAGAAGGCGUUCAGACUCUGAGUUGUAUACACUUUUCUCUUUUUCUGUUUAUAUUUUCACUUAUAACGUCAAAGUCAAAUAUUCUCAAAUUUGCAGAAGAAGGGAGGUAUAUUACUGUAGAUAUUUUGCCCAUUGCUUUUCUCAUGUAAGGGAGUGAAGUACUGUUCAUCCACUAGUUGUGUAAUAUCUAUCAACCAUUUCCACUCUUACUUCUACCUUCUUUAUUUUUCUUCCAGAUUCUGGAAUAAAAUUACCACAGACUAACUCAUUUAUGAUCUAGACAGUAGGCCAAUUAUCCUGCUGAUGUUUGCAGCCUAAUCCAGGGAACUGCUUUAACAGGGGGGUAGACUAGAUGAUCUCCAGAGGUCCCUUCCAAACCCUAUGAUUCUGUGAUUCUGGAAUUAUACAAAAUCCAGCUGACACCAGUGUAAAAGUGAUAGGCCAGCAAAUUGUACAAUUUGAUUUAUGAGACUGGCAUCAGACUACAUGGUUUAAGCGGCAAUCCAAUGUGCCAUCCAGUUCCUUGUGAUUGUUUCAUAGUCUUUGUGUUGUCUGCAGAUUUGGGUAAAGUCCAAAGGCAGAAUUCAUGUUGAUAUGUUACUGUGUGGACUUUGUAAAAUGAGCUGCUAGGAACAGUCUACUUUCAAGAGAAGAACAUUUCUUCAUUACAACAAAUGCUAUUAGUUUCUGCAUUCUUUAUGAUAAUCUCAAUAAAUAGGGAGAGAAUGGACUGGGAGGUACAAUCCCAUCAGGUCAGGACUUAGAGCACUAUGGAAGAAUAUUAUGGAAGAAACUUGAAUGUCUUUUCUGCUUGUGUUACAAAAAGACUUAUUUUCUAAGGUUAUUGGGCCAUGAGCUUACAGUAGCUGUUAAUUCAUUUGCAAAUGUGAAAGCACAGACACAGCACAGACUGAACAGACUGCUUACUUUAAUCUUUCAUCGUAUUAUAAGUACGCAGAUUUAUAAAAGCUGAACAGCCAUAAUAAAGAAAAAAUCAAGUGAAUUACAGUUCAGGUUGAAAAAGUACCAGCAACUGCUCAUUCCUUGACCUGGUACCCUUGAUGGGAGCCUCUUACAAGGCUUGGCAAGGUCUAGCAAGUUUUAACAAGGGACCAAUGAAGCAAGGCCCUCCAUUCCUGGGGCUUCCUACUGCCCAGGAAAAGGGAUACAGGAGAGUAUGGAGGUGCCAGCGGAGAAUGAUCCUUGUGGGAGAGGAAGAGACGAAUUAGUACAGGUUUUGGAAUGAGAAUCAAAUGUCUGGAAAUUGCUAUUGGGGAUCAUAUACUGUCUGAGAACAAAGGGGUCUGAGAAGAGAGUUAUCUGCAUUAGCACUUUGGCUUGAAGACAUAACAUGACUUUGAAGAGAAUCCCAGGGUAUUGGAUUGAUUUGCAAAAUAGUUUUGGCAUAUGUGAGCUAGACAGUUCUUGGAGAAAACUAAAGAAGAAGCUUCACUCUAGGUUUGCACCUCAUUUGUUACACACUGAUGGGGACAUUGUAGUCUCUACCAGUGCCUGCUCCUUAGGCUGAUAUAAAAGCAGAUGUGUGGGUGGUAUUUAAUCUGGGGACCAGAUUAACUGUAAUCCAAAGUGAAACCCUAGCAAAAUAGAUUGUGGAGGCAUAAAGGCUGGGAAUAAAUUGUUUUGCUCUUCUGGUCUGUUUCUAUUCUGCCUUUAUUACUUGCUAUUGUGGAUAUAACAUAUGCUGUCAAACUGGCAAUUUUUCAAUUCUAUUUUUAUCUUUUAUUCUGAGAAUUACUCCAAACCUCUACUUUAGUGUUUUCUGGUAGUAAAGCAACAGCUACAUCUGUUUCUGCAAACCAGAUUAGCUGUGCACUUUCUCUUUAGCAGGAAGUCUUUGUAGAACGAUUUCUGAGCUUCCCACCCAACCAUGCGUUCGGGAGAGGACACGCCAAACUUGCCCUAACUUCCCGCACUGAAGUGUUUUGAAAUUUUGUCUUUGGAAAGAUGAACACCGCAAGGACACUGUGUCAUCCUCAGGUUUCCAAUACAUAUAAUUCGUUCUCAUGCUCAUCCUUCCAUUUUCCCUCACGUUCUACAGUGCAAAGAUUAUUAAUUUAGGGACAGAGGAGAACAAAAUACGAGUUGGCAGAAAUCAAUCUGUCUGCACAGAAGCUGUUUUUAAAGCUGCAUUUAGAAUAACACUUUCCUGAAAUGUGUUCAAAGAUCCUUGUUCAUACGACAGAAUGGUGCAUGUGCACACGUAGUUUCUCUCAGAUGUUUCGGAGUUCUGAGAAAACAGGAUCUGCUGUUACAGUUUAAAUUACUAAAAUGAUCACCACGCUAUCAUUUGAACAUUUAAAGUUCUGGUAUAUAACAGGAAGUGAUGCUUAAAUUUGGUAAAUACAAUAGAUGGAGUUUUGUAUCUGGGAAGAAUUUCCUUAUUUUAUAUUUGCUUGUAAGCAUGGCAUAAAUUCUACUGAAACACAUGGGGCAGUUUUACUGAUUUGCAUGUCCGAGAACUUUCCCCAGCAACAAAAGUAACUGGAAUUUUAUUUUUAAAAAUCAGAUAAAAUGAUACUUAAUCUGGUUGCAUGGACAGCUGCUAAUUCUACCCACUUCAUUCAGCUCUGUUAAACCGUAGCAUUCCCCAGUCAGAUGUGUAACAAUGCUUCUGGUUUUCAAGACCAAAUAAAUCACAAAGAGAUGGGUGUGUGAUCUGUUUGUGUCAGAACAGCACUGGUGUAAGCAGAAGUUCUAACUUACGUCUUAUUUCCUCCUGUCUAUGGUUACGAAUUGAAAUACGUUAGGAUAUCUGAUCUAUUUUCAUUAAAACCAUUCAUCUGAAAUCUUACAGUUGUCUUCUGGUAUAGCCUUGAAUUCACAGUUUACAGCUAUUCCCUAGCAGUGCUCUACAUCUAUUAACAUUCUGCCUUAUUUCUCUGGCCAAACCCUUCUGGGUGACAGGCAACAGCAACACAAAGAAAAGGAAACGUCUGAAGUGAAUGUCCUGAAAUGAGGAUUGCCCAAAAUGACACCAUGGGACAGCCAAAGGUCUGAAACUGAUGAAGUUGAGUUUUACUUGGGAGAUAUCUUUAAAAAAUUCAGUUCUCACACACAUAUUAUAAGAAACUUAUGUUAAUGAGGGCUCCUGUGGAAAAGAAUGGUCCCCAGAACUGUCUAUGUUUCUCUGUUUGACCAAAAAAAAAAAAAAAAAGAAAAAGAAAUUGAUUUUACCCUUUUAAUGUUUCAGAAUUCAUAUUUUGUUACCCAGUGGCACAAGUACUUCUCUCCUUUAAAACCCACUUCAUUGUGGUUUUGAUUUAGUUUCAAUAAGAAACGUAUUGAUUGAUCAAUCAAAGACAUUUACAAAGAAGAAUUUGUUUGAGUUUUGCCAGUUUGGACCCUAACAUCUCACAUAGCAUGACUCUUGUAAGACGUAUAUAAUGGAAGUGAAUGAGUAAUUUGAAUUUCAAGGUCAACAGCAUGCUUUGUGCCUAGACCCUGUUGUUGCUUGGUGCUGCCGGUCCCAUCAAGCCUGAAUGCAUGUUUAAAAAGGCAGAAAUCGAAGAAACCAAACCAUUACUUAAUGACGUACACAUGGUGAGUGAUGAUAUGAUGUUACUGGGAAAAUAAUUAGUUCUUUUACUCCUCUCAUAAUUAGGUUAGCAGCCUUCAGGGAAGGGCUAUGGUAAGAAAAUUGAGAAGGAGGAGGAAAAAAAAAAGCCAACCUCGAAACUCUUUUGAAAACUAUGGACAAGGGAAAAAUAGCCAUUAAUUUAUCAGCUUAAUUAAUGUCUAAAUAUAAAUGCCAACCUGUCCUCUAUCUGCAGUCUGAAAACUCACUUUCCUGUUUUUGCCUGCUGACAUGAACUGGAAGCUGUUGAGGCAGCUGUAGCAUUCUCAUGGCUGUGCACUACUUAGCAAGUGCUUGUUUGCUUAGCAGAGCUUGAAAGCUACCAGAAUGCUGCCUUCACUUCCAUGAUACGCUUCCACAGGUGAGCAAAAAAACGGUAAAAAUCAUAUCAUAGUGCUGCCCAGCUCCUACACCUACAGCUGGGCAUGGAAUGAUGAGAAGACCCAGUGGCUCUGCUCUCUAGGUUCCUGUUCACGCAGAUCAGGUUCAAAGGACUCGUGCAAGGAAAGACUGAGUAGCUCAGGAUGCAGUGCAGAGCAGAAUGGUUUGCGUGGUUCCAGCAGAGCAGGGUCAGCAGCCUUGCAAGCUUGCCAGGCAGCGUUUUCCUUUCCCAAAUUGAAAGUUGAGUAUGCCAGCUUUCCUGGUUAAUUCUGAUCUACAAGUUGAGGGAGAGCCAGGUGCCCUGGUUUCAUCCGGGGUCGAAGGAAAGCUAAUCAGUGAAUAUCUCAGCGCCAUCAAAUUCCUACAAGGCAUCUAUCAGCCCAUCUUUGGUGAGAGUCAAACUUCUAUUGCAGUAGCUUGGUUUAAAAAGAAGAUUUUGCUUUUCCAAAAUCUGGCUGAUUUAAAAAUCAACUGUGAGUGCGUGUAAUAUCAAGAAGGGAGAAUAUAUGCUGUAUUCAAAAAUACUUUCUUGCUCUGAGACAUCAUUCAAUUAUGAAAAAAGCGCAUUAAUACUGAUACUCCUCUGUGGUUGCAUUUAAACAUCAGCAAAGUUUCUUUUCCAGUUCUGGAUAUUUACAAGCCACCCCAGAUUCACGUGACAGAUACUCUCAGCCCAUUCAGUGCCCAACACUCACAUUAGUUCUGUAUGUGCAUGAAACAACAGCCCACAGCAUUUGGGGGUAUGGAACAAACGCUACACGUUGCGUUGCUGUAGUCUGCUGCUAAUAUUAGAACAGAAUGAGCAGCUUUCUUCCUGGAGGCAUCAGCAAGCUUUAUUUGCAACUUUUUUUCUCAGUGGUAUCAGACAUGUGGAAUAUAUUACCAUAAAUUGCUUGUGAUUAAAUGUAAAGUACCAGGAGGAUUUGCAAUAGUUAAUCCUUUUAUUGCUGGGGUCUGUGAAGAGCAAAUUGAGCCGAAGACUGUUACAGAACUGGCUUUCAUUAAAAUUAAUGCUCUUAUAGUACUGUUUUGUUUAAUUAUGGAACAUAAUUUUAGAAAAUAUAAGCUUUAGGAAUAAGAUGGAUAGCAAUGUGUACUGGACAUAUUCUAUAUAAGCCACAGGUAGCAAAAGUAACAUUAGAAAAGUAAAGACCUGCUCCAGCAUCUCAUAAUAUACUCUUACUUUGUGCUGAUAUAUUAUGUGGUUAUGGCCAAGGACAGAAUUUCCCCCAGCAUUCUGCUGAAAGGCAAUCUUGUCUUUAUAUAUAUUUUGAUUUCAGUAAAGUUCUAGGAAUCAGUUUUGCUUUCUACUUGACUAAAAUAGGUGAAUUUCUGGCAUCUGGAAGGAUUUCCUGAGAUAAAGGCGAGGCUGUGUCCAAAAGGGAAGAAAAAAAAAAAAAACAAUAAAAAAAUAGUUAGCAUGCAAAAGGCAUUACUCUCUUUUCUGGGAAGCUGUGCUCCUUUAAUACUUUGAAAAAGCACAAUCUGCUUGUAAAUAAGUCCUUAUGUAACAUUAUAUACUAUGCAUUAAUAGAACUUUUUCUGAAAAUGGCUCGCUGAAAAUACUGUAGGUUGGAUGCCUUAUGCAUGGCGUAGAUAGACUGCAUGGGAUGGCAGCUAUGUGCUGUGGUGCUCUUGGGCAGGCACUAAUUUGCUCAGAUUUCAGGACAACAUCUAUUUCAUUAUUACUAUUAUUAUUAUUUAUUUCAGCUACCAUUCAUUCCCCAAAAUGAUGAAACAGCAGCAGUUCCCCUUGACCACCUCUAUGUAUUUCAGAUGUUGGUAGUUUUGGGGAGAGGCAGCUGAGCAAAAGUGGGAGAAGAACCAGAGAGUAUUUGCUCAGUGAUAUACUGUCCCUAUUUUACUAUAAAAAACUCGAGUUGGCUCUAAACUGUCCCUGUUUUACUGUGUAGGGCUAUUUAGUGAUUUGUUCUUGCUAUUAAGAAGUGAAACUCAGAAGUAAUCCCUUCGCAAUUUACUUAAAUUCACUUAAUUGUUACUGCUUACAAUGCUGAGGAGUUAAAGUCGAACAGAAAGAGAAGGCAGAGAGAAGUAGGUGAGCUUAGUUUCUCAUUUUGUUCUCUUUUUCUCCUCCUCCUUUUAGCCAGCUGUCAAAGGAGCAGUCCCCCUGAUGUCUGGGUUGUAAAUGCAGCCAUGUCUUGAGACUGGGACAAGAGGUGCUAUCAAGACCUCGUAUGUGAGAGGCUGAGAAGGGAGUUCUGAAUCACUCGCAAGUUUGCUGCAUGAACACAGUCACCCAGUCCUGCUGCCACACGUUUUCUUUCCCACCAUCCUUGCAGAGAUGCUACAAGGGUUUAGUGGUCUAUCUGUCUGGCUACGAGAGCUUGGAGUCAAAUCUCUGCUCAGCAUGCAGUUGUAUGAGACACAAGGUGAGCAGUUGUGGCAGUUGGUUCGCUGCUGCUCAGAGGAGGGAACCUGGUUGCUCUGCUCCCAGCUAACCACACCCCACAGCCUGGCAGCCCUUGGCAGCCUGCUCUGUGAGCCACCUCAACCAGGAUCUUCCUCUUUCCAGUCACCGCUUUCCAUACCACAGGACCAGAAGGCUGGUAUAGGAAAUGGGGAAAGAGUGUGCCCACAUCCUUCCUGACAAGGGAGUGUAUGCGGAUUGCAAGGAAUCUCUGAGCCAGGGUCUGGCUGAUCUGAUUUCCCUCUCUGCGUCAUCUUUUUCCAUCUGGAAAUUUGUUUGCAGGAGGAAUUUGAGCCUUGUCUACGUCCAUCCAGGAUUGAUGGAUGGCCAGCAGAUUGAGCAGAGAUACUGCACAGCCUGGAGUUUCCAGAUAUGUUCACAUUAUGUGUUAGCAGCAAAGGCACGGUGCAUUUGCAGUCAGUCAGAUGUUUUGGGGACUUCAUCACAAAUGCCUACUGUGAAGCUAAUAUGGAUAUUCUUGGUAUUCCAACAUGAUCCAGAAGCACUGGGCCUAAGAAUUUUAUAAUAAACAUGUCAUCUUCACUGUCCAUAAAAUCUUUUGAAAUUCAACGCAUUCUCAAGGACUGGUAUUCAGUUCGGUGGCCAUGGAGACUUAUCUCAGUGAAGCCCCUCAGAAGUCCAGCAUGUUGGUGAGGCAUUGGCACAGGCUGUCCAGAUGGUGGUGAAGUCAUUGUCCCUGGAGGUAAUUCAGGUCUUCAAGAACCGUGGGGUUGUGGCACUGAGGAACAUGGUUAGUGGGCAUGGUGGGGCUGGGCUGGCAGUUGUACUAAAUUGUGGUCUUUUCAAGCCUUAAUGAUUUUAUGAUUCGAAAAUGAACCUCUGGAAUGGGCAAGGAGACCAGUUCCCCCCGCAGCCCAGCACCUUGCAAGAGUCUGUCCCAGCCAAAGCUACUGCUCAGCCUGAGUUGGGAAUCAAGCAAAUAUUUUUUACACUGAUCCGGCAGCAAAUGUUUGCUUGUCAGUUUGUUCCUACUGCUGCAUAAGUAGCAGCUGAGGAAAGAAGUGGAGGUGCAUCUGAGCAAAAGUCAAGGACGGGAAAGUUCAGGGAAUGCAAUGACGACAGAAGCCCUUUGUAAAAUGAGAGCAGAAAAAACUGCAAACAGAAACAAGUCCAUCAUCAGUGUGGGGCCACCUGAGCUCCCCUUUCCAGUGGAGUCUACUUUAGCUCUGAAGCUGGCGAAAUAACAGCAAUGACUCUGUGACCUGUCCGAGCUCAGGGAGCCAUUUCUGUCAAAUACUUACGAAACAAAAGUGCUCCAUGAAGGCUCAGAUCCUGGAUCACAGCCUGCAGCUCCAUAGUAGUACCUGCCUGUGGGAAUUUUAACACAGCCUUCCCCAGGUGCUGCAAUUGGGUCAGCAGCUCGACCUUGAGGCUCAGGCACAGACAUGGCUCUCCGGGAGCAGGGCAGCUUCAGCACUGCUCGCAGCAGACACCGCCCAGGGCACAGGAAGGGAACAUGUAUUUAUCAUCUCCAGGAAGACUAUGGAGCAGGAGCAGUUCUGUAUAAUGGCUUUUCUGCAGCAAAGUUCCCUAUGGCUGGAAGCAAGCACAGGACUGCCAACAUUACCAUGGAAACCCCCAAAAAUAAAGACUUUCCCAGCCUUGUGAGAGCACACCUGCAAGAGCAAGAAUGGCAGUUAGCCUUUUGCCUGUCAGAAGCAAAUCUCCUUCAUUACUGGUGUCACCUAAGGACAUUUUUUACCAUCGGACUGGAGCUUCCUGUUGUACACAUAACAAGCUUUCAGAGAAGGAGCCUGGCGGUUAUGAGAGGAAGCCCCCCACGUAACUAUACAGGAUCUCAGGCUCAGAAAUAGCACUUCAGGUUGAAUGAAGCUUUAGACUCAACACACUCAAAGCCUGCUCAAGGUUUCUUUCAGACCUGCUGCCUACCCGGUGCCCCUGCUUUGUGAUUAACUUUCUUCCAACAGUACCUACCACUCUCUGAAGGCAAGAAAUACUGUUUGGUAGAGCAGUCAAGGCACAGUCUUCAGAAAGAGUCUCCUUUGUGUGUAUUUAUACCUGCAAACCUCAUCCCUUGCGUCUACCACAACUGGUAUGUCCUUACCUGCCUGAGAAAAUCCCUAUUGGCUGCACAGUGCAUUGGGAUUGUAGCAAAGUUCAUUGCUUUCAGAGUUCAUCCAUUAAGACUAACAGUAACAGAUAGGAGGCUGGAGAUGAAGCAUGUAUCCAGUGAAGAGAAUCAUGAUACUAAAUCAAUCCCUGCUGGAAACAGAUGAUUUGCUACCAUCAUCAGUGGGUAACAGUCAUACAGGGCACUUGCCGAGUAUUAGAAAAUGUCAAAAAAAAUAAUAAUAAUAAGCACUAAAAGCAUUUGAGGAGAAAUAGAGAGGUGAGAUCACCCACAAAAAUAAAUUGUCAACUUAUAAAAAUGUAAUGUGGAUUUCUUUGAAAAAUCUCAGAUAUCACAAUCAGAAGUACAGCAAUCCUAAAGUAACAUUACAACAAACCAUCUGAGUGCAACGUGCUAAACCUGUAUAUCCCAGUUUCAUGUCUGCAGGUAGAAGUAGAAUUUGCCCUGCAAACUAGAUCUGAUCAGAUCAUGCUCUAAAAGGCUUUAAUUCCCAAAUAACCUGGUAUGGAGGAGAUAACUCUGUACUCUCUAGAACAGUGAUAAACGGUUUAAAAACAGUGUGCUUCAGGCUUGCAAAGUCCUCAGACAAUGCUACUACAAAUGCAAAGAGCCUUUAAAAUUACUAGGUUGAAUUUGUCAUCAAACCGACUUAUGCAAAGCUUUGGCUUUUCUUCUUAGAAAUGAACUCAGUAUCAUUUCACUCAGUCAUUAGCCGGGAUUCUUUAGUUCUGAGGCAGAAUUCAUAUGCAGUCAAUACAACUGAAGCACAUAAACAAGCUGAGGGGUUUUCUAAAAUAAAACUGUAGGAAGUCAAUGCAAAUCGACUAUCAAUGCAAAAAAGGUAUUUCGAAAUGCAAUAAAUUAGCUACAGCAUCUAAUGAACAAAAGGGAAAUUGAUUGUUUUCCAGUCGACUCCUGAAAGCAGAACAGAGGCUUUCGCUUUCCAUUUUCCUCACUGAUUUAAAAAACAAUGCUAUUUUUUUUGGCUUAAAAAUACAUUUAAACUAUUAUUUUAAAAUAGACCAUGAGCAUAAGCAAAAUGUGAAAGGUUUCGAUGCAUCGUGUAAGUUACCAAGUGUUUUGGUAGCUGAAGUUCUUUAAAUAUUCUUGUUUAAUUUAAAAUUAAUAUUCUUUGAAAGGAGGAGGGAGGGGGAACUAGUUCAGACAGCUAUUGAGAGUUGUCCAGCUUGAAGAAUUUUCCUGUAGACGUGCUCUAAACAUUAUUUACGCUUUAUUCUCUGGCCAGGACUGAUUUUCCCUGGAUAUCAGGGAUUCACAUGAACUCCAGCAAAGUGCAGCUUUGCAGGGAAGAACAUGCAACUCCUUGCAGAUCACAGCCCUAAGAAGGAUCCCAAACCAGCAACUGCAUCUUCUGUAUGUGAAACUGCUCUGUCUUGUAAAUCAUCUAUAGGAGAAGAAAUAUCUAAUGGUAAUAUCGAAUUAAUGUAACAAAAAAAAACAACCAAACAAAUGGAAUUCUGGCUAAAAACAAUUGCUCUGGGAAAAGCUUUGAAAUAGUCACUAUCAUUUUUUAUCAUGUUUCUAUCAGAUAGAAUUAAUCACUUUUAAAGUCUGUUUUACUUCAACUUCUGAGCACCAUUCUACAUUUGCAAAGCACAUUUAUCAUCCCAGGGAGAGUCUUCUCCAGCCCACCAGUAUUUUCAAAGGAAAAGGGAAAAAACACAGCAAAAGCUUCAAAGAUGUGAGUGAAUUAUUUCUACCCCUUACAAGCGCAACGUGUUCUCUCCUCUACAGUGACACAGUACAGAAAACAAGAUGUAAUUAAAGCAGCUCCUUUGCAAAAUGAGAAGGACCUUAUAAAGAAUUGGCACACAAUUCUGAUUUGAGCUUUCUUGUCUUAAACAAACCUAAACUUAGUAUAGAAUGUAAUACUAAUGCACUAACAGAAUCAUUCAACAAUUUAUUUUUUUUAAUACAUCAGACUGCAAAGUGCUGGGCCUGUAAUCAAAGGAAUGCUCAAGUGUCCAAGAUAGCAACAUUGAAGGAAACAGGGAUUUUUGUGUAGUACAGUGCAAGCCAUCAUGCAAGUGAACCAAAGAACACUUGCCAUUUCAUCUUUUAUACCAAGACAAAAAAGCUUUAGUCUAGAAUGACUUUUCCUCUGGUCUACCCAAAUGAACCACAGACCAAACAAAAAGCUCACACAUUUCAGAAUGUGAUUUUGAAAUCUAGGAUGAAACUUGUUUUUCUAAGGAAGUGAUUUUCAUCUUAUUAUAUUGAAACUGUCCAUACAAGGCAUACAGGAAGAGAAUUGGACAAAUCCACCAAGCAGGGUUUUGUUUGUUUGUUUGUUUUGCAGUUGGAGAGAAAAUAAAAAUUAAAAAUUAAAAAUCCGCGGUGAUCCAAGCUAAGCAUGAGGUAAAGUUCACCAUUAACGUGCAAAAUUUUAAAAGGAGGCUCAAGGCCCACUCAUAAAAGAUUCAGCAAUAAGUGGAUUUUACAGUGCACUAUAAAUUCAGAUGCUGCCUCUCUGUUACUGAACUCAUGUUGCUGAUUAACUCAAUGCACAACAUUAGCAGAACAGCAGAGUUAAUUCAAAGAGAGCCAGAAAACGCCACAAGAAGCCUAGGUGCUACUCCGUUGAGCUGCAAGAACUUUGCUAGCCACUAACCUACAUCUCACGGUAUCCAGCUAACUCAGCACCACCCCAGCUAAAGAACACCCCAUAAAUACCUGAGGUCAGAAUUCCCUUUCUUCUGAAUAGCGUUAAAGCUCUCUGACAAACUGCGUGCGAAGCACAGUUCCCAGGAAUAUGGAUUACAGACAGCUCUUCAAGAUGUAUUUUGAAAGGAUGGAUGUGGUAUUAAGGUGGUUGGAAGUUGCAUAUAGAAAUAGAAAGAGCAGGUAUAUUUGUAACGCGAGCUGAACCUCAAUUGGCAUGAACUAUCUUUAAGUACGCGGCCUGUAUGAGGAUAGCAUGCACAGAGUACAAAGGGAUCUCUGUUCCACAUCUGGGUGUUGUACCAGGAGCAGAGGGCGGAGGGAGGGAGGUGAAAUCUGUGAUUCUGAUGGGAAGGAAAGAUGCGAGAUGCUGGCAUCUGGCAACCAUAAGAGCAAGUGAGGUAGAGCUGGGCCCCUGGCUGCCCGCCAGCUAGGGCGUAUGCAGGGAUAACAAGAGCUUGUAACCCCCGCUGGAAGGUCAGGAUGGUAGGAACAGAAUUACGGCACACUGUCCUGCUUCAAUUGAAAACUUCCAAGCUUUAGAGAGUAUAACUAAAACUCUACCAAGACAUUCUGUAAUUAAUUUUAAAAAGGUAUGCAGUCACGCUUCAUCACAAAUGACCAGGUCCACAAAACAUCCAGACAUAGAGGACCCAUUAAAUUCACUGGAAGUCUCUAAAUACCUUUACAGUCCUGACCAAAUAUUUUAAGUUGGGCUUUUUUCACCCUUAAGCACGAGGUAAAGCCCUCACUUUGAGACACCUCUCUUUCUCUCGUAGCUCUUUUCAGACUUGCAUUUCACUGCAGUUCUUCGUGAGCACUACAACCUGCAGUGCCUUAGCCAGCAGCACUAUUUCUGAAGUUUCAAAGGUAGUACUGAUGUGUCUCUGCAGCUUGUACCACUCCCAGCUGCUCAUCAGCCUGCUCCGAUGCUACCAACUCCACUUACAGGCUGCUGAGACAAACUUCUCUAAUAUGACAGUCACGGGACAAGACAAAGAUUACAGAUUCUGAAUGAGUUACUGCCUAAACUCAGUCCUAAGAACAUUUUAAGCAGCUAGAUUUCCUCAUAGAUUCUCGCAAUGCCUAGGACCAAUCUCAGCUUUUCAAAAAAGCAAGUUUUUAAUUAUGAGACAAGAAACAAUAGCUUACUUCAACAUGAAAAAGAAUACACCCACUAUUUUUCCAUGUUCUGUAAUUCAAAAAUAGGUCAACCAAUUGACUUUAAAGCUUUCAAAAAGAUUUAAACUGAAAUAUAAGGUUCAAUUUCCUUUUUAUUUUUUAAGCCAGACCCAGAGAUUGAAAAGCUUCAGACUAAUGGCUACCUUAAGGUAAUAAAAGGGGGAAAAGUUUUUGAAUUAUGUAUCUAACGUUGCCAGAACAGAUUGAUUCCACAGUAAAUUUUUAAACAGAGAGUAAAUUUUUAAACACAGAUUAAAUUUGAAGCAUUUAAGUAAGACCAUCGGAUUAACUAUGUGGCAAUUCAGAAGUGCUAGAGGGCCUAUAAUUUGUCACACUGCGCAUACAGACCUCCCUGACUUUUCUUUACUUUUUUCCAUAGGCUGUCCAUUUAGAAUGCAAACAGGGGUCAAAGCACACCUGAGCAGCAUGCCUACCAACUCAGGAGGCUUCCUAUGUUUAAUGUGAACCAGACAGAACCAAUACGUAGUGAAAAAAGUGUCCAUAAAAUCACACAGUUUUUUACUCUGUACUUUAAAAAAAUGUAACUCUGGAGGCCAAAAUUACUGUUUUGACCCUGUCCGGCAGUGAAUGACAGCAGAACUAUGAUCAGCAGCACGCUGACCUAGGCAAUUUCUUCGAGAACUGGAGGAGCACCUUGUAUAGAUGGUAUGAAACGAGGUCCCUCCAUGCAUCAGUGCUGCAGUCACAGUGCACAACGGGCACUGCUUUUUCAAGAAAUGCUCCUAGCAGUGCGCCUGAACUUCAACCAAAGGAAGUGUCACAGCUCCUAAAGUCUAGAAAAGGCCAACCAGACCAGCCCUGGUGCUGCUGUGUGCUCCGAGACCAGGUGAACUCAACUGACUGAAUGGACUGGAGAGUGAAGCAUCCCAAAGGGCUGAGGAAUAAAAGCAACUCCAAACCACCCUAUUAUGAGCUCAGCCUGGUAUCCCAAUGGGCUCCCAGUGCCAAUGGUACGAUUCACUGCGAGCCUCAAAGCAAUCUGUGGCAACGGUAACUCUCCAUGUCAAGCCUUUCCUCCUCACUGGCUCAUGGAAACGUUCAGAGCAGGGAGGUGAGAGACACAGGAGCUACCACGGCCGCUCACACUCAUCCAAAGGCUGACUGAACGAAUUCAGGGAUCUGAGCUGCUUACAGCAGCCUAGCAUACCACUGAACCACACCCUUCAAGUUAUUUCCAGAAAUCCUAAUGUGACUCUAAUACCGUCUUGGGGUUUCCAUCUGAAGUCCAGAACCUGUAAGAAACGCUACUGCAGGAUUCAGGGCCGUGUUCUGCACGUUUCAGGAUUCUCUGUCCUUAGACUCCUGCUGCUCAAACAAACUCAAAGAAAAACUGCUGGUUUAAAAUACUGGUAAGUAAGUCAAACCCGCCAAAAACUGCUUGGAGAUAUCCCAUAUUUGCAGUCACUUCAUCCCAAACUAAUUUGUUUUUAGAACUG